GUCUACAACCAUAUCACCCUGAAUACACCUGAUCUCAUUUGAUCCUGUGAAGGUAAGCAGGGUCCAGUCUGGUUAGUACCUGGAUGGGAGACCCUCUGGGAAUGCUGGAAGCUGUAGGCU
RNAcentral lists this ribosomal RNA (120 nucleotides) under Aotus nancymaae (Ma's night monkey). The record is from RNAcentral. Lineage: Eukaryota; Metazoa; Chordata; Mammalia; Primates; Aotidae.